UGCCCAGCAAAUCCUAUCCCUACCUCGUCGUGGUACCGGUCGGAAACUACGAGGAACUUUAGGGAAGA
Molecule: non-coding RNA, 68 nt
Organism: Aedes albopictus (Asian tiger mosquito)
Lineage: Eukaryota; Metazoa; Arthropoda; Insecta; Diptera; Culicidae
Source: Rfam